This 253-nucleotide ribosomal RNA is filed under the name uncultured bacterium. Its description in RNAcentral is "partial 16S ribosomal RNA". It matches the Rfam family "Bacterial small subunit ribosomal RNA", at positions 524 to 776 of the family's 1533-position model. The record is from RNAcentral.
UACAGAGGGUGCAAGCGUUAAUCGGAGUUACUGGGCGUAAAGGGCGCGUAGGCGGUCAUGUAAGUGAGAUGUGAAAUCCCUGGGCUUAACCUAGGAACGGCAUCUUAAACUGUGUGACUGGAGUACUGUAGAGGGUAGUGGAAUUUCCGGUGUAGCGGUGAAAUGCGUAGAUAUUCGGAAGAACACCAGUGGCGAAGGCGGCUCACUGGCCCGGUACUGACGCUGAGGUGCGAAAGCGUGGGGAGCAAACAGG